RNAcentral lists this ribosomal RNA (492 nucleotides) under uncultured bacterium. Its description in RNAcentral is "partial 16S ribosomal RNA". It matches the Rfam family "Bacterial small subunit ribosomal RNA", at positions 29 to 507 of the family's 1533-position model. The record is from RNAcentral.
AGUGAACGCUGGCGGUAGGCCUAACACAUGCAAGUCGAACGGCAGCACAGUAAGAGCUUGCUCUUACGGGUGGCGAGUGGCGGACGGGUGAGGAAUACAUCGGAAUCUACUUUUUCGUGGGGGAUAACGUAGGGAAACUUACGCUAAUACCGCAUACGACCUACGGGUGAAAGCAGGGGAUCUUCGGACCUUGCGCGAUUGAAUGAGCCGAUGUCGGAUUAGCUAGUUGGCGGGGUAAAGGCCCACCAAGGCGACGAUCCGUAGCUGGUCUGAGAGGAUGAACAGCCACACUGGAACUGAGACACGGUACAGACGACUACGGGAGGCAGCAGUGGGGAAUAUUGGACAAUGGGCGCAAGCCUGAUCCAGCAAUACCGCGUGGGUGAAGAAGGCCUUCGGGUUGUAAAGCCCUUUUGUUGGGAAAGAAAAGCAGCAGGUUAAUACCCCGCUGUUCUGACGGUACCCAAAGAAUAAGCACCGGCUAACUUCGUG